This 71-nucleotide small nucleolar RNA is filed under the name Gorilla gorilla gorilla (western lowland gorilla). Its description in RNAcentral is "Small nucleolar RNA SNORD59". It matches the Rfam family "Small nucleolar RNA SNORD59". Rfam says of the family: U59 belongs to the C/D class of snoRNA which contain the C (UGAUGA) and D (CUGA) box motifs. Most of the members of the box C/D family function in directing site-specific 2'-O-methylation of substrate RNAs. The record is from Rfam by way of RNAcentral. Lineage: Eukaryota; Metazoa; Chordata; Mammalia; Primates; Hominidae.
ACUCACUGAUGAGUAGCUUCUGACUUUCAUUCUUCUGAGCUUGCUGAACCCAGAUGCCAUUCCUGGGAAGG